CGUGGGUAACCUGCCUUGUACUGGGGGAUAGCAGCUGGAAACGGCUGGUAAUACCGCAUAAGCGCACAAUGUUGCAUGACAUGGUGUGAAAAACUCCGGUGGUAUAAGAUGGACCCGCGUCUGAUUAGCUAGUUGGUGAGAUAACAGCCCACCAAGGCGACGAUCAGUAGCCGGCCUGAGAGGGUGACCGGCCACAUUGGGACUGAGACACGGCCCAG
RNAcentral lists this ribosomal RNA (218 nucleotides) under uncultured bacterium. Its description in RNAcentral is "partial 16S ribosomal RNA". It matches the Rfam family "Bacterial small subunit ribosomal RNA", at positions 116 to 334 of the family's 1533-position model. The record is from RNAcentral.